Molecule: ribosomal RNA, 542 nt
Filed under: uncultured bacterium
Lineage: Bacteria
Description: bacterial SSU rRNA
Rfam family: Bacterial small subunit ribosomal RNA
Source: RNAcentral
ACGUAAUAGAUACCCGGGUAGUCCACGCCCUAAACGAUGUCUACUAGUUGUCGGGUUUUAAUUAACUUGGUAACGCAGCUAAACGCGUGAAAGUAGACCGCCUGGGGAGUACGGUCGCAAGAUUAAAACUCAAAGGAAUUGACGGGGACCCGCACAAGCGGUGGAUGAUGUGGAUUAAUUCGAUGCAACGCGAAAAACCUUACCUACCUUGACAUGGCAGGAAUCCUGAAGAGAUUUGGGAGUGCUCGAAAGAGAACCUGCACACAGGUGCUGCAUGGCUGUCGUCAGCUCGUGUCGUGAGAUGUUGGGUUAAGUCCCGCAACGAGCGCAACCCUUGUCAUUAGUUGCUACGAAAGAGCACUCUAAUGAGACUGCCGGUGACAAACCGGAGGAAGGUGGGGAUGACGUCAAGUCCUCAUGGCCCUUAUGGGUAGGGCUUCACACGUCAUACAAUGGUACAUACAGAGGGCCGCCAACCCGCGAGGGGGAGCUAAUCCCAGAAAGUGUAUCGUAGUCCGGAUUGUAGUCUGCAACUCGACUAC